GAUGAACGCUGGCGGCGUGCCUAAUACAUGCAAGUCGAGCGAACAGACGAGGAGCUUGCUCCUCUGACGUUAGCGGCGGACGGGUGAGUAACACGUGGAUAACCUACCUAUAAGACUGGGAUAACUUCGGGAAACCGGAGCUAAUACCGGAUAAUAUAUUGAACCGCAUGGUUCAAUAGUGAAAGACGGUUUUGCUGUCACUUAUAGAUGGAUCCGCGCCGCAUUAGCUAGUUGGUAAGGUAACGGCUUACCAAGGCAACGAUGCGUAGCCGACCUGAGAGGGUGAUCGGCCACACUGGAACUGAGACACGGUCCAGACUCCGACGGGAGGCAGCAGUAGGGAAUCUUCCGAAAUGGGCGAAAGCUUGACGGAGCAACGCCGCGUGAGUGAUGAAGGUCUUCGGAUCGUAAAACUCUGUUAUUAGGGAAGAACAAAUGUGUAAGUAACUAUGCACGUCUUGACGGUACCUAAUCAGAAAGCCACGGCUAACUACGUG
This 497-nucleotide ribosomal RNA is filed under the name uncultured bacterium. RNAcentral's name for it is "partial 16S ribosomal RNA". It matches the Rfam family "Bacterial small subunit ribosomal RNA", at positions 28 to 507 of the family's 1533-position model. The record is from RNAcentral.